CACGUAGUUAGCCGGGGCUUCUUAGUCAGGUACCGUCAUUUCUUUCUUCCCUGCUGAUAGAGCUUUACAUACCGAAAUACUUCUUCACUCACGCGGCGUCGCUGGAUCAGGGUUCCCCCCAUUGUCCAAUAUUCCCCACUGCUGCCUCCCGUAGGAGUCUGGGCCGUGUCUCAGUCCCAAUGUGGCCGUCCACCCUCUCAGGCCGGCUACUGAUCGUCGCCUUGGUGGGCCGUUACCCCGCCAACAAGCUAAUCAGACGCGGGUCCAUCUUAUACCACCGGAGUUUUUCACACUGGGCCAUGCAGCCCCGUGCGCUUAUGCGGUAUUAGCACCUAUUUCUAAGUGUUAUCCCCCUGUAUAAGGCAGGUUACCCACGCGUUACUCACCCGUCCGCCACUAAGAUACCAACAUCUUGGCGCUUAGUAACUAAUCACCUCGAAAAUGGCAUCCCCGUUCGACUUUGCAUGUGUUAAGCACGCCGCCCAGCGUCA
RNAcentral lists this ribosomal RNA (491 nucleotides) under uncultured Lachnospiraceae bacterium. RNAcentral describes it as "partial 16S ribosomal RNA". The record is from RNAcentral. Lineage: Bacteria; Bacillati; Bacillota; Clostridia; Lachnospirales; Lachnospiraceae.